This 1233-nucleotide ribosomal RNA is filed under the name Triticum aestivum (bread wheat). RNAcentral's name for it is "partial small subunit ribosomal RNA". The record is from RNAcentral. Lineage: Eukaryota; Viridiplantae; Streptophyta; Magnoliopsida; Poales; Poaceae.
AUGGCGUCGCUCUCCCUCUCCCUCCGCGCCUCCGCCUCCUCGGCCGCAGCCGGAUCCCGCGCCGCCGCCCCAAUCAAGGUCUCGUUCACGGCGUCGUGUGUGAGGAGCAAGGUUACCUGCAGCUUACCAUCCAUCAGAGCUACCUCCUCACCUGCUAGAAGCAUUGAGCCCGUAAGAGCCACCGCCACACAGGCGCCCCCUGCCACCCCUCAAUCUUCUAGCAGAGAGAAGACAAAGGUCGGCAUCAAUGGUUUUGGGCGGAUUGGGAGGUUAGUUCUGCGAAUUGCAAUUGAUAGAGAUGACAUUGAAGUUGUGGCUGUCAAUGAUCCGUUUAUCGAUGCUAAGUACAUGGCCUACAUGUUUAAGUAUGAUUCCACACACGGUCCAUUCAAAGGAACCAUAACAGUUCUGGAUGAGUCAACCUUGGAGAUUAAUGGGAAGAAAGUCUCAGUUACAAGCAAAAGGGACCCGUCAGAUAUCCCUUGGGGUAACUUUGGAGCUGAAUAUGUUGUUGAAUCAUCUGGUGUUUUUACAACAGUUGAGAAAGCUUCAGCACAUUUGAAGGGGGGUGCAAAGAAAGUGGUGAUAUCGGCUCCGUCAGCGGAUGCUCCCAUGUUUGUUGUUGGAGUAAAUGAGAAGAAUUACAACCCUAGCAUGGAUGUCGUCUCUAAUGCUAGUUGUACCACCAACUGUCUUGCUCCUGUUGCCAAGGUUGUCCACGAGGAGUUUGGCAUUCUUGAAGGCCUAAUGACAACUGUCCAUGCCACAACAGCCACUCAAAAGACUGUUGAUGGUCCUUCAAUGAAGGACUGGAGGGGAGGACGUGGUGCUGGUCAAAACAUCAUCCCUAGCUCUACGGGUGCAGCAAAGGCUGUUGGAAAGGUCCUUCCAGCUUUAAAUGGAAAGCUCACUGGCAUGGCCUUCCGGGUUCCUACACCUAACGUAUCUGUUGUUGAUCUGACCUGCCGACUUGAGAAAAAUGCUUCCUAUGAAGAUGUGAAAGCAGCUAUCAAGGAAGCAUCAGAAGGUUCGCUUAAAGGUAUUCUAGGCUACACAGAUGAGGAUGUUGUUUCAAACGAUUUCGUUGGUGACACAAGGUCGAGCAUAUUUGAUGCCAAUGCUGGUAUGGGACUAAGUUCAUCUUUCAUGAAGCUCGUCUCCUGGUACGACAACGAGUGGGGCUACAGCAACCGUGUCCUCGAUCUGAUCGGGCACAUGUCUCUUGUUGCCUAA